Long non-coding RNA from Spinacia oleracea (spinach), 2466 nucleotides. RefSeq lists it as uncharacterized. The transcript is spliced from 5 exons. The record is from RefSeq and is a predicted model, not a curated record. NCBI's taxonomy places the organism in Eukaryota, Viridiplantae, Streptophyta, Magnoliopsida, Caryophyllales, Amaranthaceae.
CAUGUUAUAUGUUAUCAUUGCAAAAACAAAUAUUAAUAAAUGUAACUUUCAAAUAAGAAUAAUAUAAAUGUUACUAAUGCAAUAACCCGGGGCGUCACCCGAACCUAAACACUAGUUGUAUAUGAAUUUUUUAGUAAGUUUCUUGUGGAUUUAAAACUAUAAGAGAACAAUGAUCAAAAGACGAGAGAAAUAUAUAAAUCUAGUCAAGAAGUGAAAACUCCAAUUCACUGACUUAAAAACUGGUAACAAAAAACUAAACAUCUUUUUUUGUGAUUUCUAUAAUUUGGUUGUUUAGUUUUAUAAAACAUCGAAAACCGAAAAGAAAAAAAAUUAAAUAAGACCGAACGAACCCUAAGUUUCAUGUUUUUCAUUUGUUGGUGAUGUGGCCUAAAAUAAUAGACUGCCACAUGGCUUUACUAUAAUGGCCAAAGAGGAAGACAAAGAUUCUCCAGCAUGGAUACCCAAAAUCCAUACUGAGCCCAUAUCCGCCUUAAGACCCAGGGCCCAUCUCUUCAGCCUAUGAACCCAUUUGAUUGGAAGAGUCCCUGGCCAAAUCAUGACAAAAAGCCCAAAGCUUGCAGGGAAGCCCAACAUGAAAAGGGCCCAACGGGUCUAAAUCAGACCUUCUAUUAUCAGAUACAUGUCCUAAUCUGGGAAAAGCACCCAAUCAUCAAGCUAGGGAUAGGAUCAAAUCCCAAGAAACCCUAGCACUAUAAAUAGUGCAGAUCCCUAGGUAAAAGGGGGCAUUCAAUUCAUUCCCACCUACCUUAAACUAUCUUUGCUCUGCCUUCUCUCUACAAAUUACUUCUCUCUCUAGCUUAUACUUACUUAAGCAUCGGAGGAAAUAUUCCUACAGGAAUAUUCUUGUUUUGCAGGUUGCCAGAAGAUCGUGCCAGCUCAUACUUGAUACCUCUGAGGAACGCGUGACACGUCAUCACCGUAAAAUAUCCUACAACAUUUGGCGCCGUAUGUGGGGAGGUAUAGUAUCAUGGCCGAGCCACAAUCUGAAGGAGAGUAUAAUGGUGAAGUAGAGGAGAGACGGCCUCGGGAAAGGAGCCAACGCCAUAUAGAGGAAGCAAAUCGAGUUGCAAAUGCUGGAAGCACGCCGCGCCGAGUCCAGGAGGCUGAGGUCACUAGUAGAAAAAACCCCUGUUGCAGCCCCCUUGUUGCAGCGUACAUGUAUUAAUACGCUUCAAUAACCAGUCGGUCAACGCGGGUCAAACCUUUUAAAGGGUUGUUGCAGCGUACAAUUUAAUUGUUCCCUGCAAAAAAGUUUGUUGCAGCGUACAAUUUAAAAGCCCCCUGCAAUAACCUAUUUUUGUCGCAGCGUACAUUUAAAAGCCCCCUGCAAUAGCCCGGGUCAAAAAAAAAUUCGCUGCAAUAUUAAAAUUUCAUUUCUCGCGCUUAACUCCCCUCUUCUUCCCUUACCUUUUCCUGCGUAGUCCCCAAAAAAAACCCUUCCUGCGUCGCCAUAGCUUACUCGUCGGUGGUUCUGGCCUCCUCGCCAGUCGUCACCUUUAUUCGAAACCCUCUCCUCUUCCAAGAAAAACCACGAGCAGCUAGUGAGCUACCAGCCUACCCUCUCAGUCCUCCCAUCUUCAAUUCUCUGAACCUGUACCUUUCUUUCACGAAAGCCGGCCACCAAGGGUAAGACGGAUUUGUAAUCUCGAAAUUCUGCCGCGUUCACCACCGUCUCACCACCUUCCGAUGGAGAUCCAAUUGGGUUCAACUACCACCGUUUCUCACCAAUCGCGUUUCUCACCACCACCACCACCGCCCGUUUUUCUUCAAAUUUAAGUGAAUUUAUGCACUACGGAGAAUUAGGGAUUUGAGGACGCUUAAUUAUCAGGAUUUCAUCCGCAAACUCUGCACUUAGAUUUUGGGAUAUGGGUUGAGGUUGAUUCUUUUUGGUUAUGCUACUGCUCUUUAAGUAUAGGCAUCGCAAAGCAAAUGGAGAGGCGUCGAGCUUAGGUUUCAGAAAUUGAUGGUGUUUUUAAUGAUUAAAUAAGACAGCUGGUGUUGGAAAUGCUGCUGGAGUUGGAACUCAUUCCUGUACUGAAUGUGUUUCUGAAUGUGCUGCUAAAUGUGGAUUUCUGAUUGGAAGAACUGUGGCUGUUUUGAUAACUAUGACGAUUGGGACCUCGAUGGCUGCUCGUCAAGGUCCUCUAGCCAUGGCUGCUCAUCAAAUCUGUAUGCAAGUGUGGUUGGCUGUCUCUCUUUUAACUGAUGGAUUGGCCGCAUCUGGUCAGGUCUACACUCCGAGGAUUGCGCCUUAUGCGAGGAAUUUGAUGUGGUUCGUGAGCAAUGGGCUAAGUUUUUUACCAACAAGUAUUUAUUAUUGGCUUUAGCGCGCUUGAUCGAGUUGGUUUAGUUGUUAUAGAAUAAAUUUUAUAUUAAAAUGUAUGUUUAUGUUGAAAUUGGAACAUAUAUUUAAAUGUAAUAUGUGCACUUUGGUUUUGGGAUAAA